CCCCUACUGGCACUUAAACGUCGGAAGUGAAGUGUUUUGUAAACGAUGGGUAAUACCGAGAGUAAUGUUACGAGCGGCGUGAAGAAACAAACGGACACGUCGUCCAUCCUGCUCUAUAAAUUAGUCAACCUGAAUGGUGGCGGAUUGUUAGUGGAUAUGAUGAAGAGAGCAACGCAGACCAAACAGUACGCGGAAUUGGAUCACGCGAUGAGAACGAAGGUCGAGCCGUUUUUGUACAACAAGGGAAAGGGCAAAUGGAUACCUGUAGAAAAAUUAGUCCUCCUACGAAAUAAGGACCGUCCGCGGCAUAAAAUGCUGCCACCCUUGAAAGCCAUGGAGAAUCCAGCUGAUUACGAUAUCGAUAAGGACAUGGGCGACGAGGAAGUCGACGAAACCAAAAUAGAUAAAAGCAAAUAUAGGCUGGUGUGUUGGAAUUUGAGCGACAGAGGUGCCGUCGGCGAAACUAUUUUGCAUCUGUGCAUGUUGAACGCGACUGCCAUCCACGCUGAUUUGGCAAGACGACUGUUGCGUUUCUAUCCGCUGCUUAUAUACGACAUUUAUUUGUGCGACGAGUAUUACGGGGAGAAUGUCUUGCACAUCGCUAUCGUGAACGAGGAUCCGUCGAUGGUCAAGUUUCUUCUCGACAGCGGAGCGGACGAUCCGCUCAUUAUUCACGAGAGGUGUUGCGGCACCUUCAUGUGCCCGGAAGAUCAGAAGGCGUCGAGAUUUGACAGUUUAGAUCACGAGUGGGUGUGCGUCUCACCGGAAACCGAUUACAAUGGCUAUGUGUACUGGGGAGAGUAUCCGUUGAGUUUCGCCGCGUGUCUCGGUCAGGAAGAAUGUUACAGGCUUAUACUGGCCAGAGGCGCGGAUCCUGAUAAGCAGGACACGAAUGGCAACACCGUUAUGCAUAUGCUGGUGAUAUACGAGAAAGUGGCCACGUUCGAUAUGGCAUAUGAAGUAGGGGCUUCCCUCGACCUAAGAAACGUCCAACACUUGACUCCGUUGACCUUAGCUGCAAAAUUGGCCAAGAUCGAGAUAUUCUUUCACAUCCUGAACAUCGAGAGAGAGAUAUACUGGCAAAUCGGUAGCAUAACUUGCGCAGCCUACCCUUUAUCGCAAAUAGAUACGAUCGAUGUUAAUAUAGGAACAAUUAACAAGAACUCUGCCCUGAAUCUGGUUGUUUUUGGCGAAAAAGAUGAACAUUUAGAAUUGAUGGACGGUGUGCUAGUUGAUCUUCUAAACGCCAAAUGGAACACUUUUGUCAAAUCCCGGUACAUAAAAAAAUUUUACCGUCAGUUCUUUCUCUUCUGUUUCUACUUCGUGCUCUCGCUAAUCAGCUUCACCCUUCGCCCUGGCCCGUCGACCAUGGAAGAGGACGAAAACGCGAACGAUACGUCUACGAGAACAAAUUCUUCAAAUAUAACAGAACACGUGAUUCUCAAGUCCCUUCAAAGCGCAGAUCUAUCUGAAUUGGUUACGAAUAGCCUCGUCGCGGCUUUUACCUCAAAUUUCAAGUCAUCCUUAAACAUGACGCAGGAAUCAUUGGAGAAGAUCCAGCUGCAAAUAACGUCGAACAUCACGUUGGCCCUGAAGAGCAUUUUGCUCUUCGACAAUGAGGCCAUUCUAAGUCCUCCCGACGAGACCACCAUUCAUACGCUGUGGUAUAAUGAUAGUCCUUCAAAUACGUCGGACUAUUUCACGGAUAUGUAUAACAAAACCGUCGCAGCCAAUAAGAAUUCGACUACCAAGACGAUCAUUGACAACGUGCUAAAAUUUAAUCACGAGUUAUGGUGGGACGACAUCACUGAGGAGUGCAGGCUGAUGCAACUGACAGAAACAAGUGCGAAGAUUCGUCUAACUGCGGAAAUUUUUAUGUAUAUCGGCGCAGUGCUCUACAUCUUGGCCGCGUUGCGGGAGGCGCGAUUCUUAGGUCUCAAUAUGUUCAUCGAAAAUCUCGCGACGGCGCCGUCACGCGUGAUGUUUCUAUUCUCGUGCUGCAUCCUGCUGUCGUUCCCGUUUCUACGAUUUGUCUGCGCGGAUGAGGUCGAAGACAUACUGGCGGUGGUGGUGAUGCUGACCACGGCGCCGUACUUUCUGUUCUUCUGCCGGGGCUUCAAGACGGUUGGACCGUUCGUCGUGAUGAUUUACAGGAUGAUCAUGGGCGACCUCCUCAGAUUCGUCUCCAUCUACCUCGUCUUUGUUAUGGGGUUCUCCCAAGCGUACUACAUCAUAUUCCUGUCGUUCGACAAUCCAAACACACCGGAGGGCGUCGACGACUCAAUGACGAAUCCGAUGCCGUCGCCGAUGGAGAGCGUCAUGGCGAUGUUCCUGAUGAGCAUGACGAAUUUCGGAGAUUACUUCGGCGCGUUUGAAAGGACCGAGCACGAGUUCGAGGCCAAGCUGCUGUUCGUGAUGUACAUGGCGAUCGUGGCGAUCCUGCUCGUUAACAUGUUGAUCGCUAUGAUGGGUAACACUUACCAGAAGAUCGCUGAAACCAGGAAUGAAUGGCAACGUGGGCGCGCAUAGUUUUGGUUGUAGAGAGAGGCGUGAGUCCCGCUGAAAGACUAAAAAAGUUGAUGGACUAUUCUCAGCCCAUGUCCGACGGUCGUCGAGCGUUGGUUCUUCGAUUACAUCAAACUGAGGAGGACAAGGAGGAGAUGAAGGAGAUACUCGAGAUGAAGAGAACUCACGAUAGAUUGCUAAAGAAAAGACAAAAUAGGAUGUCAAAAGAAAAGAUUAUAUCUUAAGCAGGAAAGCCAUUAGAAGAAAUGAGCAUCUAGCUUAUCUCGAACUCUAUUUAUAUGUUUUAUUUCAAAUAAUUGUUAUUUAAUUUAUUCAGUAUUUCUAGUUACACAAAAUAAUUUUGUACGAAUUACAAGGAAAUAAAAAGAUUGCGAUGUAGCAAGUAUAAA
RNAcentral lists this unclassified non-coding RNA (2915 nucleotides) under Monomorium pharaonis (pharaoh ant). RNAcentral's name for it is "transient receptor potential cation channel subfamily V member 5, transcript variant X5". Lineage: Eukaryota; Metazoa; Arthropoda; Insecta; Hymenoptera; Formicidae. The record is from RNAcentral.